RNAcentral lists this long non-coding RNA (208 nucleotides) under Elaeis guineensis (African oil palm). Its description in RNAcentral is "long non-coding RNA (EGUI_LNC005718)". The record is from RNAcentral. Lineage: Eukaryota; Viridiplantae; Streptophyta; Magnoliopsida; Arecales; Arecaceae.
UCUGUGGUUAACCAAACAUAUCAAAAUUUUAUUCUCAGAAAUUAACUUUCUGAGAAGUUACUUUUUAGCUACUUUCUAAGAAGAAAAAUUAUUUUCAUGAACCAAAUGAGUCUUGAAUUUUUUUUUCCUCUCUUCUGGAUGGCAGAAAGCUGUCAUCCUGUCAUAUCGCAUAGCUUAGUUUCAACUCUAAGUUUUUUUCUUUUGGAAU